CGGGGAGAACAUGCAGACUCCACACAGAAAGGCCACUGGGCGGAAUCGAACCCAGGACCUUCUUGCUGUGAGGCGACAGUGCUAACCACCACGCCACCGUGCCGCCCCUAAGUUAAUUCAAUAUAUUACUUAUUUAUAUAUUAGUAAGCAAGAUCUUUCCAGGAGAACUUGCCAGACUGCCAUCCAAUUUGAAAUAGAUAUUGAUUAUCACGAGAGAAUCAUUUCUAAUCAUCAUGUCCCUAAGGCCAACAUUUCCAUUUGAUCAGGACUAAAGCAUCAUCAACGAUUUAGAUGAUAUUUGGAUUUGUUCAUGAGUUUAUUAUUGAUAAGUAUUGAGAGUCUAAUUCUAAUGUAUUAUCUGCUUAUACAGCAGCCUUUAAUUAUGAGAGUCAACAAUAGGAAUUAUAGUUUUUGAUAAAUACAUUAACAAACUAUAUCUGCUUACUACUCAAUUAUGUUGUUAUCAUGCCGUGUUAUAAACAAGUUAUUUAAUAGUUGUAUACCACUAAUAAGGCUUACCAUUACUGAGGAAAAUCAGCAUUUGCGGUUCUAGAUUCAAGGAGACCCCAUAACUGUGAAGAACCACUUGUAUUUGUGCUCUAGGGGGCCACGAGUUUUGUUGCACAAUUUUUCUACUUCUACAAUCCCUCCGGACGCAAAGAGCAGAUGAAUCAGAUACCAUGGAUGCUCCAUCUGCCAUUGCUUUCCCAUCCUCAUCACACUCAAGCCUGAUAUAUCUGGGAAUAUCCAAAAGGAAAUAUCACAUUAUUAUAACUCCAAUUAACUAAAGACACGACUGCAAACAUUUCGUUUAAAAGGGAUUAAGGCCUCCAGACUGAGCACGCAGAGGCCUCGAGAAGCACGACUUAAAACAAAUCAACUUUUGUAUGUUGCUUCACUAACACUCCUGGCAUGGAUUCGCCCGGUAGUACCAACAUGAAAACACGAGUCGGGUUAAAAAAACGGUAUUGCUCAAAUUAACAAGUAGAAGCCAAUAAAGCAGCCUUAGUGAAGCAUCAAUGUAGGUUAUCAAAGCAGCAGCAGGGAUCAUAAAGCAGCAGGCGGUCUGCGCAGAUAGAAGACAUUAGACAAAGGCUCUCAGUCACUGCUGCACCAGAAAAUCAAUAUGUUGCUGUUAGUCACCACUGUUCUCUCUGUUUAGCGCCUGUAGAUCACAUGGAAACCCCAUUAUCUUACAAUUCUCCUCACCGGCACACAAACAGAAUGAGGUGUCUUGACGGCGACUGGCCAGACACUUAAAAUCGGUAUAGAUGAGCAGGUCUGCCUCUGUUGAUUUUUAUUUAUAUAAGUGUUUUUGGUAGUAGUGAGAGGGAGCAUGUGUCAUACUCAGGCCGAAUAGUGUGCAGUCUGGUGACACACUAAUUAGCGAUGAUGGAGGUGAAAUGCUAGCUGCGUUAGCGUACGUAUAGGUGUCUGUGGGCGAUGCACAGUUUGAGGGAGCAGUCUGGCAGCUGCUUUGCCUCGAGCUUUAAGCUAAUUUAAGAAAAGAAUGGCUCACUAGUUAAAAUAGGGAGGGCAGCUUUGCCGUGUUGACUUGAUGGCCCGGUCUCAAUUACACCCAAAAAUGUGAAUAAUAAUGCUCAUGAUACUCUUUUUUUUUAUAUCUAGGAUGAAUUAAAUGAAGGAAACCGAAAAGGCGAUGAAAAAAUAAUACAUAAAAGCAUAUCUAGAGGGGCGUAAUUUAAAAGGAGAUUUACUGGAUAACAUUGAAAUAACUAGCUCACGUUCCUCAGGCGGGCACGUUCAAUGCUAACCCCCCCUAGCAAAACGGCAAUCCGCUUUAUUCUUGACUCAAGAGUGAGAAGGAGUGAACAGAGCCCGAGGAUCCAGACUCCAAAAGUCUGAAUGUGGCCAGAGGCCAGACGUCGCUUUAGCCUACUUUAAAUGAUCAUCGAGAAGAGAUGACUGCGAGCCAGCGCUCAACAACAUCGCACAAGUUUACGUCACGCUUUAGCCGCCAGCUCGCAGAUGCACCGGUGCAUCGAUUGACGAUACUUUUCAAAAAGGUAUCACAUUUGUCUGAUGGCUCCCAAGUAAUAGACUGUCAAUGUGUGUCUCGUGUUCUUGAUGGGGAUGUGUCAUGGACAUUUGGCUGGCAAUGCGUGAGUCUGACUAAUUCAUUACCGGCUGUGACAGACACAUCCAACUGACAAGCAAAUUCUUCUCCCUUUAUGUGGAGAACGUCUUCAUAGGGCUCGUGGUGAGUUAGUGAAAUAAUACGGCACAAAAGCAUUUGAGAUAGGCUACUUUGCAAAUCAAUACUAUUAUUAUAAUAACAUAAUGCCUUGGGAGAAAUAUUCCACACUCACUGUGCAGAAAAGGCCUACACUGUAAAUGCACAUAUGCUACUAUGUGUGUGUAGACUGUAAGAAUCAGAUCAGAUCAGACUUGGACCAACCUAACCAACCUCAUAGAACAAAUCCAGGGUUUUGCCAAAUGCAUUUUAACUGAAAGUAUUCUGUAAAAUCGUAGCUUUAUUUCAGCAUCAUCAACUUUACAUCAACAUAUCGUGUAUGUACUUAUUUUCCUCUGGAUUAAUAGCAACAAAUCAAACAUCUGCUUUUUUUUUCACUGUUACGGUUCAUUCAAUGACUUUUACCAGUUGCCAAAAGACAGUUCUCAUGCAACUCCAUGUUAUACCCACACGGCAAGUGAAACGAGUGAGAGGUCAAAAGGAGAAAGGAGAAGAGCCUGUCAUAAAGGAAGCGAGGGGGAGUAGAGACUGGAGACUGUCAGGAUCUCUGAUCCCCCCCGAGUUACAGAAUGUUUUUACCACUGCAUGCAUCUCACAAGACCAAUGCUAGAAGAGAUAGAGGGAGGCGCUCGGGUGGUAACAGAGGCACAGGUAACAGAGGUGGUAACAGAGGUGGUAACAGAGGCACGGGUAACAGAGGUGGUAACAGAGGCACAGGUAACAGAGGCACAGGUAACAGAGGUGGUAACAGAGGCAGAGGUAACAGAGCUGGUAACAGAGGCACAGGUAUCAGAGGUGGUAAGAGGCAAAGGUAACAGAGGUGGUAACAGAGGCAGGUGCAGGCAGCAAGGGUGACAUGCGUGGUAAAGUGGUUUGGAGAAUGUCAAGUUAAAGCUCGUCAUCCUGUAAUCCCCUUUCUUAAAGCUGCACCACACUGAUAGUUUGUGAAGAUGAUACAGACUUACAGCAUAUGCAGAGGACUUUAAACAGAGUAUUUUACGAUGUUUCCAUCAGUUACCUCAUUCCUAAAAUGACAUAAUGCAAGAAUAUUACAUUAUAAAAUGAAGCAUUCACAGCAAUAUUGACAUCUAGCCUUUUUCGGGGCCCCAAAAAGUUUUUGCUUGUCAUGUCGGGGUUUAGAUCAACGCUCGGCUGCUUUGUUCUACAGUUGGGAUGUUAUGUACAAAAUCGGGUUGCAACCAGAUCUGUUCCUGAAGCUGAAAAUCAACACUGACAGACAUUGUUUUGUUUCAAAUCAAAUGUGCAGGAAUGGAAUCAAAUCAAAGUCACAGGCUGACAGUUAAAUACUACACACAAGACAUUUACACAAUAAUAUGUAUUAUACAGUCAGGCUGGAGGGUGGUGGAGGCAGGUGCGGGCAGUUACAGUCUCCGUAACCGUGUGGGCAGAUACAUAAGGACUGUGCUGGAGAAGUGGUGUGAGAUUUAAGAUGAAGUAGCACGAGUUGCCACAGAAAGGUGGGAACAUUGACUUAUAUUAGUGACAAAAAGUGAUAUGUAGAUGGGAUGAGACAAAGAUUCUGCAGUGCACCUACAGAUGUAACGUUAUCUGUUAAGGUUCAUGGACAAUGGCAGGUGGGAAUGAAGGGGAGAUACCUGGACAAGUGAAACUAAGGCAUUUAUCAUUUGAGGUGAGAAAAAUGUGAGGUUGAGCAAACGUCUGAAUAUACAGUCUUUAUGAAUCAGAACGAUUGAAGUUUAUUAUGGAGAGAUUUUUUUAACCUACUCGGUUUACCUGGUAAUAGCUAUUCAAAGCUACAGCCUCCUUUCCUUGACACAAGAACAUGAGUUUGACUUUGUUUGAAGUGGCAAAGAUACCAAACAUAUUCAAUUUAAUUAAAAACGAAAAUUUACACAGAAUUAUUUGCUAUAUUUAGGCCUUUGAACUUUUCCGACCAUGACAACAAAUAUGAGAUGGAUCCCCACUAUUACACACAGUCCUAGCGUUGUUACACAAACAGCUGUAUAUUUCAAAUGCAUUUCAUUUUGAUUAAAAUAAUAAUUUCAAUAAAAUGUUGUUUAACAACAUUUUCACUCAAUUUAUAAUUAAAUAAAAUGAAUAACAAUCGUUUGGCUACUAUGAUCAUUAUGCUAUUCAAACCAUUAUCAACAAAGCUUUUCAUAAUAAACAGUAAGUUCGUACCAUAGAGCCCUCCAUAUCAGACUACAUUGUAUAUGAUGACUCUUUAACAUCGGAGAUGCAACUCAUUAUGUGUUGAACAGAUAUACAGAUGAACAACUUCAGGGAGGCCGCAUAUUUUAUAUUGAAUAAUGUAGAAUAUUGAAAGAGCCUUGCUGAUAUAUGCCUUUGUUCAAAUAUGAUGUCAUUAUAAGAAGAAACUUUGAACAAUGAUGAAUAAAAUAGGAAUAGCCGAUUCACAUAAUCACAUAUAUUUUGGACACUUUGUAGAUUUGUACCUAAGUGCUAUAGUUAUACACUGUAGUACAGAUGUUUUCUGAAUAUCGGAAAAAUAUAUAUAUUUCAGAAACGAUGGGACAACGUGCAUCGUUUCUCCUCUUUGGCAAGACAGAUAAAGCCCAUUUUUAAAGUGUUCAUGUGUGGAGUUUCUCUGCAAUAGCCAUUCAAUGUAGCGUUAAACUGCACUCACUGUUACUGUGGUAACCGCAGGCAUUGACAGAUCAAUUGAAUCUAUAAUCUUAAUGAUGGCAAAUUGAAGUGUUGUUGGUUCAUGACCAUAUCUUAACCAUAGUUGCUUCAAUCAAAGUCUUGAUUAGUAUUAUUAUAUUUUUCUGUCAUUAACCAGGCUCAACCAGCAGGUUGCCAACAAAACACUCCCAGAAGGUACUUCAUAGACAUUCCUGACAAUGUCUGAAAAUAUGCAAGAUGUUUGCUAAAUUUAAGGCAAGAGGAUUUACAGUACUAUUGUAGAUGCAACAUAAUCAUGUGUUAUUACGCAAAUUAAUAAAUACAGAGGGGCAAUCAAUUAUAAUUUCAUAGUUUAUCUACAGAGAUAAUACAGGCUGCUCUAACAUCAUGUAUGUGGGGGCAUCGUACAGGUGGCAUAAGGAAUCUAGAUGCACGGCAUAGGGGAAACAUUGCAAAUUUUGAAACAGAGGAUCAAUCACAAAUUGGAAGCCUAAAGAAAACGUUGGUGGAACAUAAGCCUGCUUCAUCGUCUCUGACUGGGAGAAUGUUGACUCAGGAUCAUCAUUCCUUUGAGUAAAUACAUACAGUUUACUUUGGCACGCUAUUCAAGCUGCCAACAAGGCUGGCUAAAUGUAAACGUUGCCUUGUGAGGACUGUCACGUUCAGUGUGCCUCUACUGUUGGGCUAGCUGCGUUGAUGAUGCGUUGGAUUAAGGCGCCGAGACUCGCCGUAUGCAAGAUGCUUUCUGCUGAAAUAAUUAUUAAGCCCAAAAGAGUUAAAAGGUUUCCUCCAUUCCAAAGAUACUGAGACUUUAUAGCUCGCUAAAUUCUGACAACGUGAGAUUUCUCCCAUAGUCUUUGCAUAAUAAUUGAUCUUUUGAAUUCUGUUCAUUAACGGAAUAAUCCAUACAUGUUUGUAUUUGACAGGGAACAUACAAUGUGCUUGGUCAAAUAUUUCAACAAUAAGUAGAUAACAACAUAUUAUUAUAAUAAUUUGUUUUAAUAAGCUGAUAACAAAACCCCAAAGUAAAAUUAGACAUCAUGCCUCAUUUAGCCUGACAGCCAAAUAUAAAACGUCAAAUGAAGGAGUGCCAAUUAAUUGACAGAAUGCUACCUGCUAGUCCUCAGAGGUCAGCGCUUUUUAAACAUGGACUCUUCUUUUUUUAGAGGAAUGGAGCAUUGAGUUGUUUAAGGUAGGGCACCUGCAUGCCAUCGGCUGAUCAGUAUCAACUGACUCCUACAAUCACCUUUUAGAGAAAAACAAGGCAAUUAGGUGGUCCCGAUAAUCCGACAAGCACUCUCGCCCCCGUGAUUAUUCAUGUCACUUCUUCCGGUACAGGGUCGUAGCCUGCACGUACGCUCCGAUGCUGCUUGGUCAUCUGUUAAGCACCCUGAAAUGCAGUGCAUUUUAUCUGCAUAUCAUCUAUUUGCAACAAAAUCGCACUGAAUCCUUUGAUGUAUGUAAGUGUCUGACUGAACUGCCUGACUUUUUGCAGGAGCGCUGAACAAAGCAGCGGUUUUAGCACUCCACAACCUGCUACAGCCUGCAGACCUCACUAAAACUGAUCUUCGUGUUCAUCAAGUUCAACUGGUCGGAUGGGGUGUUGGAUAAUUGAAAGUACGCUACGAUAAAUGUUUAAUACUGUAUUGAAACAAGCCUACACAACCAACGGCUAUUAUUCAUGGGAAAACAGCCAGAUACAACAAAAAUAAAACAAAUGACUUUUUCAUAAUAAAGCCUGACAUUUUUUUAAAUUGAAAAAAGAAUUGCAUUGAAAAAAGGAAAUGACUAGAAUGAAUUUUAAUUUGGGAUUUGAUUCAUUCUUCCAUUUUUUCCAUUCUUUCCUAAUAUAAUAGUUUGUAACACAUUGUAUGCUUAAUUACAAUACAUAUAUAUAUAUAUAUAUAUAUAUAUAUAU
Gasterosteus aculeatus aculeatus (three-spined stickleback) is the source of this 6761-nucleotide long non-coding RNA. The record is from Ensembl. Lineage: Eukaryota; Metazoa; Chordata; Actinopteri; Perciformes; Gasterosteidae.